Gopherus flavomarginatus (Mexican gopher tortoise) is the source of this 2471-nucleotide long non-coding RNA. RefSeq lists it as uncharacterized. NCBI's taxonomy places the organism in Eukaryota, Metazoa, Chordata, Testudines, Testudinidae. The record is from RefSeq and is a predicted model, not a curated record. The transcript is spliced from 2 exons.
GUUCCCUUCGCAAUUGCUAGCAUAAAACCAUACUUCAGUGAGUAUUAAAAUCAGUUAACAUUAAUGCCAGUGACACACAUGCUGCUUGUAUCUGCAUAACGUAUGCUCUGAAAAAGGAAACUGUCUUGGUAUUUUUUCCUUAGAAAAAAGUAUAGCCACUAAAUCUUGCACUCUGAUCAGCUACCUUUCCCUGCAAUGAUGGAGGUGAUUACGGUUAUCAGAGCAGCCCCUAUAUUUCCUUGGAUAAAGCAUUUUCUCAAAAGCUACAAUUUCUAACAUACUAAUGCUGACAAAAUUGAAUACAAAAAAUGAACUAUACAAAAACCAUUCAGAAAAGGCAGAGAGUCUUCCUGGAAGAAAAAGGUGAUUUUGGUUUUCCACAUAUCCCCCACAAAAGGGGAGGGCUAAGUUAGUGAAAGUGCCUCAUUAAAAAGUUGAGAGGUAAGAUUCUCUUUCCAACAAGCAGGUAUGGCUAUGAACUCAUACUUGGGAAGUAGCCGGCAGCAUGAGAGCAAUGACAGAAAAAAGACAGAUAAAGAAAACUCAAAGGAGGACUAUAGGAUCAGUGUGAAGUUUAUGGGGAAACUUCACCAGGAAGAAGCUCUGUGCCAGACUCUCUCAGCUGAAAAACUCUGGAAUCCACCUUGUAACGUUUGACGAACAUUAGUGCAGGGCCUGAUAGUAGCUUCACAAUUGUCUUUUACUGAGGCACAUUCUGUCUCCACCCACAAUGUGACUGCCAACCUCGAGUGGUAUGCACGAAUUCCAUCUGGGCUAUCAGGCCUUUAAUUCUGUACAUACAGUUUGUGGUCUAAGCAGAACACCGCUCAUGGCUUCUUGGUUUUUUCUUUAAUACACAUUCUCUGGAUUGAUUGUAGCUGUAUCGACAGGCCCUUUUCAAGCAUGUGCAUUUGCAUUUUUAGAACACAGACAAACCUACAGAACAAUCAGUCCAAGAAAUCAAUUGAACUUGCCAUCAGCCACCCACCUCAAAGGAGAAGAAAAUGGGCACACACAGGAACUGUCUGUCACCUGGGACAAAAACUGUAGAUUUAUUUUGGAGGUCUCGAAGAGCAAGUUAACCAGCAGGUCAUAGGUUCAAGUCUUUAAACCAGGGCCGACCAGAGGAUUCAGGGGGCCUGGAGCAGGGCCGGGUCUUCGGCGGGUCCCUCUCAGAGGAAAGGGCCAGCCACCGAAUUGCAGCCGAAGAAUGAAGAGGCAGCAGUAGAGCUGCCGCCGAUCGCAGCUUAUUAUUAUUUUUCCCGCUGCUUGCGGCGGAGCUUGUACUCACUGGGUGGCGCUCUGAGGCUUCGGCAGCACUUCAGUGGCGGGUCCUUCACUCACUCUGAGUCUUCCACUGCACUGAAGGACCUGGCGCUGAAGACCCGGAGCGAGUGAAGGGCCCACCACCGAACUGUUGCCAAAAACCCAGAGCAGCUCGCGGGGCAAAUUGCCCCACUUCCCCCCACUCCCUGGACCUGAUUUAAACCACGCAUGCCAUAGGUUGUCUACCCUGCUUUAAACCAUGAUUUGAGGACUUCAACGGCGCAGACAUAGGUUAGGGGUUUGUUGCGAGAGUGGGUUGGUGAGAUUCUGUGGCCUGAGUUGUGCAGGAGGUCAGAGCAGACUAUCAUAAUGGUCUCUUCUGACCUUAAAGUCUAUGACUCUACAGGUAACUGUUUGCUGAGCAUGGGAAUUAGAGGAUGUGUUAGGGAACACUGCACAGGGCUGAGUAGCAAUUGGAGAAGCAGUGAUCAGCAGUCCUCUUUUUGGAAUAACCUAUGUGAUAGACUUCACUUUUUUGUGCAUACAGCUCUCUUUGCACAGUCUGCUUCCCCGUGGCUGGGGCCCAGCUCAAGGAGUACAGCUUUUUUGUGGCUCUGAGCCAAGUUGGCUGCUGGAAGCUGGAGAUACAGUAUGAGAGAGAGAACGUCAGUAGACAUGGACUGAAAGAUUGUGGGGGAGAAAAAAUAAGGAUGGAAUGGAAUGCUGGGGGGAGAGAAAAAUCUAGUUAUGUUAGUAUUUGGGGACUGCAGCAAUAAGAACUCAGAAGCUGUCAGUCACCGCUCCUGCAGGACGAUGACAACUCCUCCCAGGGCUAAUGGAGACAGACAGCUGCCUGUUUCUGCAGGGAAAGGGAUCAGAGCCAAGUGUACAGAUUUUCUAUUUCGACAGAAGUGCCACCUGAAUACUUCAAGACUCCUGAAUUAGGCACUGGAAGGGUUAGGUCAAGUAUUUGGCUGCUGCAUCUGGAGGAGAUGCACUAGCCUUUCAAAGGGGAGGAGAAAAGAGCACACACUGCUUGGGUAACAGUCUCUGGCACAAAGGAGGGAGGAAGCCUUCUUCCCCAAAAAGGACUAGCUGUGGGCUGGGAGAUGUAACCAUGGGCACAAUGACAGCUGAAAAACCUGCCGCAGGGUGCAUGUGAUUUCUUUUUUAAAGCCAUUAAAUUUUUAAAGCUUUGUUUAGGA